AUGAGCCCGCGGCCUAUCAGCUUGUUCGUGGGGUGAUGGCCUACCAAGGCGACGACGGGUAGCCGGCCUGAGAGGGUGACCGGCCACACUGGGACUGAGAUACGGCCCAGACUCCUACGGGAGGCAGCAGUGGGGAAUAUUGCACAAUGGGCGCAAGCCUGAUGCAGCGACGCCGCGUGGGGGAUGACGGCCUUCGGGUUGUAAACCUCUUUCAGCACAGACGAAGCGCAAGUGACGGUAUGUGCAGAAGAAGCACCGGCCAACUACGUGCCAGCAGCCGCGGUAAUACGUAGGGUGCGAGCGUUGUCCGGAAUUACUGGGCGUAAAGAGCUCGUAGGCGGUUUGUCGCGUCGUCUAUGAAAUCCUGCAACUCAAUUGUAGGCGUGCAGGCGAUACGGGCAGACUUGAGUACUACAGGGGAGACUGGAAUUCCUGGUGUAGCGGUGAAAUGCGCAGAUAUCAGGAGGAACACCGGUGGCGAAGGCGGGUCUCUGGGUAGUAACUGACGCUGAGGAGCGAAAGCGUGGGUAGCGAACAGGAUUAGAUACCCUGGUAGUCCACGCCGUAAACGGUGGGUACUAGGUGUGGGUUCCUUUUCACGGGAUCCGUGCCGUAGCUAACGCAUUAAGUACCCCGCCUGGGGAGUACGGCCGCAAGGCUAAAACUCAAAGGAAUUGACGGGGGCCCGCACAAGCGGCGGAGCAUGUGGAUUAAUUCGAUGCAACGCGAAGAACCUUACCUGGGUUUGACAUACACCAGACGCCGGCAGAGAUGCCGGUUCCCUUGUGGUUGGUGUACAGGUGGUGCAUGGCUGUCGUCAGCUCGUGUCGUGAGAUGUUGGGUUAAGUCCCGCAACGAGCGCAACCCUUGUCCUGUAUUGCCAGCGGGUUAUGCCGGGGACUUGCAGGAGACUGCCGGGGUCAACUCGGAGGAAGGUGGGGAUGACGUCAAGUCAUCAUGCCCCUUAUGUCCAGGGCUUCACACAUGCUACAAUGGCACGUACAGAGGGCUGCGAUACCGUGAGGUGGAGCGAAUCCCUUAAAGCGUGUCUCAGUUCGGAUUGGGGUCUGCAACUCGACCCCAUGAAGUCGGAGUCGCUAGUAAUCGCAGAUCAGCAACGCUGCGGUGAAUACGUUCCCGGGCCUUGUACACACCGCCCGUCACGUCAUGAAAGUCGGUAACACCCGAAGCCGGUGGCCUAACCCCUUGUGG
This 1212-nucleotide ribosomal RNA is filed under the name uncultured Gordonia sp. RNAcentral describes it as "bacterial SSU rRNA". It matches the Rfam family "Bacterial small subunit ribosomal RNA", at positions 225 to 1446 of the family's 1533-position model. Lineage: Bacteria; Bacillati; Actinomycetota; Actinomycetes; Mycobacteriales; Gordoniaceae. The record is from RNAcentral.